UACGGAGGAUCCGAGCGUUAUCCGGAUUUAUUGGGUUUAAAGGGAGCGUAGGUGGAUUGUUAAGUCAGUUGUGAAAGUUUGCGGCUCAACCGUAAAAUUGCAGUUGAAACUGGCAGUCUUGAGUACAGUAGAGGUGGGCGGAAUUCUUGGUGUAGCGGUGAAAUGCUUAGAUAUCACGAAGAACUCCGAUUGCGAAGGCAGCUCACUGGACUGCAACUGACACUGAGGCUCGAAAGUGUGGGUAUCAAACAGG
This 253-nucleotide ribosomal RNA is filed under the name uncultured bacterium. RNAcentral describes it as "partial 16S ribosomal RNA". It matches the Rfam family "Bacterial small subunit ribosomal RNA", at positions 524 to 776 of the family's 1533-position model. The record is from RNAcentral.